GGGGCUAUAGCUCAGCCGGCUAGAGCACUACACUGGCAGUGUAGGGGUCAUGGGUUCGAAUCCCAUUAGCUCCACCA
This 77-nucleotide transfer RNA is filed under the name Ekhidna sp. RNAcentral describes it as "tRNA-Ala". It matches the Rfam family "tRNA". Rfam says of the family: Transfer RNA (tRNA) molecules are approximately 80 nucleotides in length. Their secondary structure includes four short double-helical elements and three loops (D, anti-codon, and T loops). Lineage: Bacteria; Pseudomonadati; Bacteroidota; Cytophagia; Cytophagales; Reichenbachiellaceae. The record is from RNAcentral.